CCCCUACGGGGCGCAGCAGUGGGGAAUAUUGCGCAAUGGGGGAAACCCUGACGCAGCAACGCCGCGUGCAGGAAGAAGGUCUUCGGAUUGUAAACUGUUGUCGCAGGGGAAGAAGACAGUGACGGUACCCUGUGAGAAAGUCACGGCUAACUACGUGCCAGCAGCCGCGGUAAUACGUAGGUGACAAGCGUUGUCCGGAUUUACUGGGUGUAAAGGGUGCGUAGGCGGAUUUUUAAGUCAGCGGUCAAAGCCCGGGGCUCAACCCCGGCCCGCCGUUGAAACUGGCAGUCUCGAGUUGGAGAGAA
This 305-nucleotide ribosomal RNA is filed under the name uncultured bacterium. RNAcentral's name for it is "bacterial SSU rRNA". It matches the Rfam family "Bacterial small subunit ribosomal RNA", at positions 336 to 656 of the family's 1533-position model. The record is from RNAcentral.